ACGGGAGGCAGCAGUGGGGGAUAUUGCACAAUGGGGGAAACCCUGAUGCAGCGACGCCGCGUGAGUGAAGAAGUAUUUCGGUAUGUAAAGCUCUAUCAGCAGGGAAGAAAAUGACGGUACCUGACUAAGAAGCCCCGGCUAACUACGUGCCAGCAGCCGCGGUAAUACGUAGGGGGCAAGCGUUAUCCGGAUUUACUGGGUGUAAAGGGAGCGUAGACGGUGAGGCAAGUCUGAUGUGAAAGCUAUGGGCUCAACCCAUAAACUGCAUUGGAAACUGUCUUACUAGAGUGUCGGAGAGGUAAGUGGAAUUCCUAGUGUAGCGGUGAAAUGCGUAGAUAUUAGGAGGAACACCAGUGGCGAAGGCGGCUUACUGGACGAUAACUGACGUUGAGGCUCGAAAGCGUGGGGAGCAAACAGGAUUAGAUACCCUGGUA
RNAcentral lists this ribosomal RNA (434 nucleotides) under uncultured Clostridium sp. RNAcentral describes it as "partial 16S ribosomal RNA". It matches the Rfam family "Bacterial small subunit ribosomal RNA", at positions 341 to 792 of the family's 1533-position model. The record is from RNAcentral. Lineage: Bacteria; Bacillati; Bacillota; Clostridia; Eubacteriales; Clostridiaceae.